This 497-nucleotide ribosomal RNA is filed under the name uncultured bacterium. RNAcentral describes it as "partial 16S ribosomal RNA". It matches the Rfam family "Bacterial small subunit ribosomal RNA", at positions 28 to 507 of the family's 1533-position model. The record is from RNAcentral.
GAUGAACGCUGGCGGCGUGCCUAAUACAUGCAAGUCGAGCGAACAGAUGAGGAGCUUGCUCCUCUGACGUUAGCGGCGGACGGGUGAGUAACACGUGGAUAACCUACCUAUAAGACUGGGAUAACUUCGGGAAACCGGAGCUAAUACCGGAUAAUAUAUUGAACCGCAUGGUUCAAUAGUGAAAGACGGUUUUGCUGUCACUUAUAGAUGGAUCCGCGCCGCAUUAGCUAGUUGGUAAGGUAACGGCUUACCAAGGCAACGAUGCGUAGCCGACCUGAGAGGGUGAUCGGCCACACUGUAACUGAGACACGGUCCAGACUCCUACGGUAGGCAGCAGUAGGGAAUCUUCCGCAAUGGGCGAAAGCCUGACGGAGCAACGCCGCGUGAGGGAUGAAGGUCUUCGGAUCGUAAAACUCUGUUAUUAGGGAAGAACAAAUGUGUAAGUAACUAUGCACGUCUUGACGGUACCUAAUCAGAAAGCCACGGCUAACUACGUG